AAGUCGUAACAAGGUUUCCGUAGGUGAACCUGCGGAAGGAUCAUUAAUAAAUGUGAAUUCGGCGAAACCGUAAGGUUUUUCGCCGGAUAAAACUUGUAUUUAAAACCUUCACUCUUGUAAAAAAAACUAUAUUUUUUAUUAUAAAAAAAAAUAAAAAAGAUCACUUUCAACAACGGAUCUCUUGGCUCUC
This is an unclassified non-coding RNA of 190 nucleotides. The stretch from base 1 to 46 matches the Rfam family "Eukaryotic small subunit ribosomal RNA", at positions 1786 to 1831 of the family's 1831-position model.